RNAcentral lists this ribosomal RNA (710 nucleotides) under uncultured bacterium. RNAcentral's name for it is "bacterial SSU rRNA". It matches the Rfam family "Bacterial small subunit ribosomal RNA", at positions 8 to 722 of the family's 1533-position model. The record is from RNAcentral.
AGAGUUUGAUCAUGGCUCAGAAUGAACGUUGGCGGCGUGGAUUAGGCAUGCAAGUCGUGCGAGAAGCCAAUUAGCUUGCUAAGAGGCGGACAGCGGCGAAAGGGAGAGUAACGCGUGGUUACGUACCCUCGAGACCGGGAUAGUGUUGGGAAACUGGCAGUAAUACCGGAUAACAUCUUCGGAUCAAAUGGUGUGAUUCCGCUCGAGGAUUGGACCGCGUACUAUUAGCUUGUUGGCGGGGUAAUGGCCCACCAAGGCUGCGAUGGUUACCGGGUGUGAGAGCAUGGCCCGGCUCACUGGGACUGAGACACUGCCCAGACACCUACGGGUGGCUGCAGUCGAGAAUCUUCGGCAAUGGACGAAAGUCUGACCGAGCGACGCCGCGUGCGGGAUGAAGGCCCUCGGGUUGUAAACCGCUGUCAGUAGUUAGGAAAUGCAUGGGGGUUCUCCCUCAUGCUUGACCGAUCUUCAGAGGAAGGACGGGCUAAGUUCGUGCCAGCAGCCGCGGUAAGACGAACCGUCCAAACGUUAUUCGGUAUCACUGGGCUUAAAGCGUGCGUAGGCGGCUUGGUAGGUGAGAUGUGAAAGCCCACGGCUCAACCGUGGAAUUGCGUUUCAAACCCCCAAGCUCGAGGAAGAUAGGGGUGAUGGGAACUUAUGGUGGAGCGGUGAAAUGCGUUGAUAUCAUAGGGAACACCGGUGGCGAAAGC